RNAcentral lists this ribosomal RNA (376 nucleotides) under uncultured bacterium. Its description in RNAcentral is "bacterial SSU rRNA". It matches the Rfam family "Bacterial small subunit ribosomal RNA", at positions 29 to 430 of the family's 1533-position model. The record is from RNAcentral.
AACGAACGCUGGCGGCAGGCCUAAUACAUGCAAGUCGAACGGGCGUAGCAAUACGUCAGUGGCGGACGGGUGAGUAACACGUGGGAACAUGCCUUUCGGUUCGGAAUAACGCAGGGAAACUUGCGCUAAUACCGGAUGACCCGGCGACGGAAAAGAUUUAUCGCCGAAAGAUUGGCCCGCGUAGGAUUAGCUAGUUGGUGAGGUAACGGCCCACCAAGGCGACGAUCCUUAGCUGGUUUGAGAGAACGAUCAGCCACACUGGGACUGAGACACGGCCCAGACUCCUACGGGAGGCAGCAGUAGGGAAUCUUGGACAAUGGGGGAAACCCGUNAUCCAGCCAUGCCGCGUGAGUGAUGAAGGCCUUCGGUUGUAAAC